This 486-nucleotide ribosomal RNA is filed under the name uncultured bacterium. Its description in RNAcentral is "bacterial SSU rRNA". It matches the Rfam family "Bacterial small subunit ribosomal RNA", at positions 28 to 524 of the family's 1533-position model. The record is from RNAcentral.
GACGGACGCUGGCGGCAUGCCUAACACAUGCAAGUCGAACGGGGAUACAAGAGCUUGCUUUUGUAUCUUAGUGGCGGACGGGCGAGUAACGCGUGAGCAACCUGCCCUUCAGUGGGGAAUAACGUCUGGAAACGGACGCUAAUACCGCAUAACACAACGAAGCUGCAUGACUUUGUUGUCAAAGGAUUUAUUCGCUGAAGGAUGGGCUCGCGUCCGAUUAGCUAGAUGGUGGGGUAAAGGCUCACCAUGGCGACGAUCGGUAGCCGAACUGAGAGGUUGAUCGGCCGCAUUGGGACUGAGACACGGCCCAGACUCCUACGGGAGGCAGCAGUGGGGGAUAUUGCACAAUGGGGGAAACCCUGAUGCAGCAAUGCCGCGUGAGGGAAGAAGGGUCUUCGGGAUUGUAAACCUAAGUAGCCAGGGACGAUAAUGACGGUACCUGGGAGAGUAAGCUCCGGCUAACUACGUGCCAGCAGCCGCAGUAAG